Molecule: ribosomal RNA, 483 nt
Filed under: uncultured bacterium
Lineage: Bacteria
Description: partial 16S ribosomal RNA
Rfam family: Bacterial small subunit ribosomal RNA
Source: RNAcentral
UUGCACGCUGGCGGCAUGCUUUACACAUGCCAGUCGCACGGCAGCGCGGGCUUCGGCCUGGCGGCGAGUGGCGAACGGGUGAGUAAUACAUCGGAACGUGCCCAGUAGUGGGGGAUAGCUCGGCGAAAGCCGGAUUAAUACCGCAUACGACCUGAGGGUGAAAGCGGGGGAUCUUCGGACCUCGCGCUAUUGGAGCGGCCGAUGGCAGAUUAGCUAGUUGGUGGGGUAAAGGCCUACCAAGGCGACGAUCUGUAGCUGGUCUGAGAGGACGACCAGCCACACUGGGACUGAGACACGGCCCAGACUCCUACGGGAGGCAGCAGUGGGGAAUUUUGGACAAUGGGCGAAAGCCUGAUCCAGCAAUGCCGCGUGUGUGAUGAAGGCCUUCGGGUUGUAAAGCACUUUUGGCGGGAACGAAAAGGACUGUGCCAAUACCACGGUUCGAUGACGGUACCCGCAGAAUAAGCACCGGCUAACUACGUG